Long non-coding RNA from Ficedula albicollis (Collared flycatcher), 310 nucleotides. RefSeq lists it as uncharacterized. Lineage: Eukaryota; Metazoa; Chordata; Aves; Passeriformes; Muscicapidae. The transcript has 3 exons. The record is from RefSeq and is a predicted model, not a curated record.
UUGGUGCUACAGGCUGAGUAGGGGGCUUCUGGCUUCUCUGUGAGGAACUGAGGGACAUGCAGCCAUGUAAGGGCCAGAUAAGGAAAACAUACAUGAAGUAAGACCAGGUCUUCGGACAAUAUCACAAGCAAGAAAUAAGGAGAAGACUCAUGAAGAAAAUUAGGCAAUUUAUGUGCCAAAGAUUCCUGUGUGGCUCACUAUGGGCCAGUGCAGUGCCCAAAACACUGUAGAAUACAGAAAGAGGAAGAUUUCUCCACUAGUCUCACGUGCAAGGUCCACCUGCGUCAGCCCAUGGCUCAAAUGAAUGUGA